Lagopus leucura (white-tailed ptarmigan) is the source of this 2785-nucleotide long non-coding RNA. RefSeq lists it as uncharacterized. The transcript has 3 exons. Lineage: Eukaryota; Metazoa; Chordata; Aves; Galliformes; Phasianidae. The record is from RefSeq and is a predicted model, not a curated record.
GGACUGGGGCUGGAAUGAUGGUUCUCAUGGUUUCCUUGCAACUCGGGAUAUUCUGUGACUCUGUGAUUAUUCUGUUUAGGUGAUCAACAGUGAGAUAAUUACAUUUCACACGCAAAAUGACGUGAGGGGUCAUAAUGAAUGCCUGAGGACCUGGAUUGGACAUUUCACACCACAGGAAAGCAUACAAAAGGAAGAGGAUUCAUAUCUCUCUGUAUUCAAGAGGAGAAAUACACGAGCUGUUCGGCAGCUCUCAAGUAUCAGCAACAUAGGGGUGAGAAGCCCUUUGCCCUGGCAGUUGUACUGAUUCAGUUUUUUAUGUGACUGGACUACGUGCCAGACCUGGGAAUAAAGCCACUUAAAAACAACAACAACAAUAACAACACAGUAUGGUGGAGACGGAAAAAAAAGGAGGGAGAGAGGCUCUAUUUCCCUGAGAGCCAGCACUGCCAUUAUAACCCCACUGCACCAAAACAGCCUUCUGGAGUGAUUGAUGGGGAGAGGUGUCACAGACUCUCAAAGAGGGACUUCUGCAGGCCAAGGAAAGGCACAAUUUCAAGUGCAGCCUGGAAACAAACCUAGACUUGUUACUCCACUUUGUAACAAAUGCUCUCAUGUUAUGAAAUUAUAUUAUUGCUUAUCUCCUUUGAGGAUAUCCUACUCAUACACAAUUGAGAGAAAAUGAAAGUCCUGUCUCAGUAAUUUGUCCAUUGAUGCCCAAUAAGAAACAGGAGUGAGCAGGUUGUUUCCAUCUUUGUUUAGGCACUUUGCUCCCCAUAAUCUGCCCUUACUUAUUAUCCUGGAUGAAAAACAAAAAAAUAAGAAAAUGAUACCUGAUAACUAUCACCAUUUUGGUGGGACUUUCGUGAUUCUCAGGGGUUCUGAGCUGUGCACUAGACUUCAGUCUGUGUUUGUUGCCACUGUGAACACAAAAACCAUAAAGGGAUGGAAGAGAAUAGAUUCAGUUCUGCUGUGCAUGAUCUGCCUGUCCACUAGCAGUCCACGUAUCAGAAGAAAUUGAAAUUGCCUGCUCUAAUGCAAUUCUCUGAGCACAGAUUAAGGGAGAUAAAAAUACUCUUUCUGCACUGAGAAUAUGUCUGUUAGAACAGAAGAACACAGGUAGGAAAGCAAGCUGCCUAGAGAUCUGGUUAUUUCAGUGACAGCAGGGGAGCUGGAUUGAUCUAGCUGCUUCUUAGGUGCAGUCUGGUAUUACGGCUGAGUUUGUCUACAAGCUAGUUGCUGUCCUUGUUUCCCAUUUACACUGCUUUCCUUAAAUUGCAUCUAGUGCUGUGUGGCCACAGGGCAAAAUCUGCUCAUCAGAGCAGCAGAAAACUAACCAUGAAAAUGAAUAGUUUUCAGCCAGAUGGGCCAGCUGAAUCAACUCACCCAGAAGUCACUCCAUCACUGGAUUCAGCUCAAGGGAGAAGGAUGGAGAACACAGCUGGAAGCAGUAAUGGAGUGAGAUCACCACUAUUUGGCAUUAGCUUGCAGCUCUAACUGCAAGGAUGACCUGCCUCUAUCCUCCCUUCCCUGCUCCGAGCAGCACGCUCCUGCCACUUCCAGUGCUUGCUUGACCUCAGGGAACUAGGCCUCUAAGUCAGCAGCAAACUAACCCAGCACCUGAGAAACAGAGUAUUCUGCCUGCUUAAUUAGGUGAAGGAUGGAGGUGGGAUGAGUGUAAGUCCUGGCGCAAGGAUGCUGAUGAGCUUGUGUGGUGUCUGUGACUGGGAGGAGGCCAGGGUGGCUCCUUCUGACAGCAGCCAUUUCACAACAGCUCAUUUUCAAUUCAACCCAAAGAAGGAAAAUAAACAGCAUGAAAAAAAGAGAGCCACAGCUGAGCAAAUGGGAACCAACUGUACAACUCUCCGUUGAAAAGCAUUCACCUCAUCAUUAGGUGAAGAAGGACAGGCUUAAUGCACAGUUUUGAAAGGUGUGUUACCUGUCUGGUUGCUGGAUGGAAGGGAGCGAUGUGAAUAGCACCACUUAGUGCCUGCAUAGCUCUGCUCUCCCCAGAUCACAGGCAGGAGGCUCAGAAAACGGUUUUGAAAAGUAAGCACCUUUCUGCCUAUUAGUCCCUGUGCUAUUGGGUGCCUGGAAGACCCAAAGGCAGAUAUAGCUCAUUUAAAAAUCAAGGCAAAAGGAAAAAAUACAAGAGGGCAGAAGCUGUGUAACAGCAAAGCAUGGAGGAGGAUGCUGAUGUUUUCUGAAAUACCAGCAGAACUCAGGGCAGGGUCAUGCUGGCCCUGCAGGGCCCCUUGGGAACACGUGCUAGUGGGGUUUAGACCCUGAACCAGAGGGCAGUGCCCUUCUGGAGGUGUUUCAAAAGAGCACCAAAAAGUGCUCUGACCUUACGUGAAUGUAAGUCAUUGUUGUGGUUGAUUCAGUUUUUCUCUGGGCAGAUAGCCAACAAUGCAAUCACUAAUUGCACUGAUUUCCAUGUCCUCUCUUCUGUAAAAUCAGUUUAUUAGAGGAGUUGGUUAAAUUCAGGAAGUGCUUAAAUUCCUAACCAUAUCUUGCUUAGCAAGAACUUAUUGAUAACAGUGCUGUACUGCUCUCAGCUCAUGUGCCUGUAAAGAGCAUGAUUGGUUACAGAGCUGUACAGUUGCGGAUGCAAUUGCAUCAGCUAAGAUAUAUUAAACUGGUAUAAUUAUUUUAUUAGUCUGAAUUGUUCUUUUAUGAUCAUCUGUAUCUGUUAUAACUGCAUCCAUCCUAAGGAACAUUUGCUCUCUGUCAGAAUGAGAAUACAAUGGGAAGAUAGCCUUCCACACGUGUAUUUUUCCUUAUGAGU